UUUAUUUUUUUGAGCAGUGUAUUAAAAAGCAUUUAAAACCUUGUGAAGUAUAAUGUCAAUAACAGAUAUGUGAGUUAUUUUAAUAUUUUCCGGUGUCUUACCUUGACUGUAGCUGGUAAUGUCGGUAAAUUGGUCGAGCUAGGUGGGAGUGGUUUCAGCAACACGUCACCUCAGCUCCUCUUUGCCCAUUUUUUGUUAUCCAGGAAAGACGUGCGGUGACGCACUGCCAAGAUGGCACUGGCCAGCUCCGCCAAUUUUGAGCUUCAAAACGGCUCUUCAGAAACCAAUGGGUGACGUCACAGACGCUACGUCCAUUUUUAUAUACACAGUCUAUGGUUUUUCCCUGUGUGUCUUUCUGUCUGCAGGUGGGCGUGGUCUUCCUGGCUCCUGCGCUGUGCUCUCACACACCUGCACCUCGUUCGCAAUCAGCCACCAGUUAUCUACCCCGGUCCAGCACGCCAGCAUUCGCCAGAUCAACCUACCUGCCAGUCUCCUGCCUGCCCACCAGUUUCGCCUACACCACCUCAACUCACCGUCUUGCCUGGAUUCUCCGCUAUGGACUCGGAUCACUCUCCGCCCCAACUGAUGCUUGUCUAUCUUAAUAAACUCCCUUUACUAGUAAAUCA
This is a long non-coding RNA of Micropterus salmoides (largemouth bass), 626 nucleotides long. RefSeq lists it as uncharacterized. Lineage: Eukaryota; Metazoa; Chordata; Actinopteri; Centrarchiformes; Centrarchidae. The transcript is spliced from 2 exons. The record is from RefSeq and is a predicted model, not a curated record.